This is a long non-coding RNA of Poecilia latipinna (sailfin molly), 323 nucleotides long. RefSeq lists it as uncharacterized. The record is from RefSeq and is a predicted model, not a curated record. NCBI's taxonomy places the organism in Eukaryota, Metazoa, Chordata, Actinopteri, Cyprinodontiformes, Poeciliidae. The transcript is spliced from 3 exons.
CAGGAAGCCCUGCGUAAAUGGAAAAUGUGUGGGACCCGACAAGUGUUCAUGCUCCGCAGGAUUUAAAGGACCACACUGUGAUGAAGAUGUGAAUGAGUGCGGUUUGCUGAAGAGACCCUGUUCCCAGCGCUGCAUGAACACGCCGGGCAGCUACCGUUGUUACUGUGAGCCCAGAUACUCCCUAACUGCAGAUGGAUACACCUGCACCAGAGAUACCACAUGUUUCUCCCUGUGUUGCCAGUUUGGUUGCCAGCUGGAGAGAUCAGGAACAGUUCAGUGCCUGUGUCCACCUGGCCUCCACCUGGCGACCGAUAAUAAAACCU